Long non-coding RNA from Daphnia pulex (common water flea), 644 nucleotides. RefSeq lists it as uncharacterized. Lineage: Eukaryota; Metazoa; Arthropoda; Branchiopoda; Diplostraca; Daphniidae. The record is from RefSeq and is a predicted model, not a curated record. The transcript is spliced from 3 exons.
AAACGUUUCCAGACGUCCAAGAAGAAACUGUUCCCGUUUUCCAAGAUGAAACUGUACAAGUCAUCGAAGAUGAAGCUUUUCCAGUUGUUCAAGAAGCUGUAGAAGCUGUAGAAGGUGAAGCCCUCGAAGGAUGAAACAUCAGAAGACAAGACUGACAGAGGAGGCAAAAGGCAAAGAGACAGAUCAUCAAGUCCAGCCAAUGUAAAUAAAGUAGCAGAAGGUUCACCUCCUGAAGAUGAGCCCGAGUAUGAUGGAAGUCUCUGGUCCUGCUUGAUUGGUAUAAUUCAUAUCUCAACUUAACCAUAAACAAAACUGAUUUCGUUAGUGGCGCUCCGCUAACUGAAGCUGGAUUUGCUUACAUGUGGGCUGGUGCUCGCGCAACCUAUGGCAUUGUAAACGGAAAAGUUUUCUAUGAAGUGAAGGUUACGGAAAAUUUAGCAGUUUCUCAUCUAGAAGAAUCAGAGCCCAAUCACCACGUUGUUCAUGUUGGAUGGUCGAUCGACUCUACUACUUAUCAUUUGGGUAAAAUCAAAAUAUAUUGUUAUUGCCAUGUCACAGUCACUAAAUAUUUCUUGUAUUAGGCGAAGAUCCAUUUUCUUACGGCUAUGGAGGUACGGCAAAAAUAUUUCAGAACUGUGCAUUCA